UCAAACACAUGGGACGAAUGGUUACAUUAGCUCCAUUAACACCCAAACAAAUGUGUGAAGAUCAACUCAAAAUGCGGAGUUCUAUUGAAAAAUCAAAAGAAAAUGAGCGAGAGCAAAAGAAUGAAAAGAAUAAACAAAAGAGUGGAGAAAAGAGGAAAAACAAAAAGAUGAGUGAUAAAGAAAAAGAAAGUGAUUCAAAAGAAAACGAAAAAGAAACGAGUGAUGAAAAUGAAAAAAAGAGUUUGUAUAUGAAAGAGAGAGAAGUUAGGAAAUCGAUGUUGUAAAAGCAUUCAUUGUUGGUUCUUUUGUACAAGGAGAGUUUGCUCG
RNAcentral lists this long non-coding RNA (327 nucleotides) under Gossypium raimondii (Peruvian cotton). RNAcentral's name for it is "long non-coding RNA (GRAI_LNC009306)". The record is from RNAcentral. Lineage: Eukaryota; Viridiplantae; Streptophyta; Magnoliopsida; Malvales; Malvaceae.